GUAGGUGGCAAGCGUUGUCCGGAAUUAUUGGGCGUAAAGCGCGCGCAGGUGGUUCUUUAAGUCUGAUGUGAAAGCCCCCGGCUCAACCGGGGAGGGUCAUUGGAAACUGGGGAACUUGAGUGCAGGAGAGGAAAGUGGAAUUCCACGUGUAGCGGUGAAAUGCGUAGAUAUGUGGAGGAACACCAGUGGCGAAGGCGACUUUCUGGCCUGUAACUGACACUGAGGCGCGAAAGCGUGGGGAGCAAACAGGGAUUAGAUACCCUGGUAGUCCACGCCGUAACGAUGAGUGCUGAGUGUUGGGGGGGUUUCCGCCCCCUCAGUGCUGCAGCUAACGCAUUAAGCACUCCGCCUGGGAGUACGGCCGCAAGACUG
RNAcentral lists this ribosomal RNA (372 nucleotides) under uncultured organism. RNAcentral describes it as "partial 16S ribosomal RNA". It matches the Rfam family "Bacterial small subunit ribosomal RNA", at positions 527 to 896 of the family's 1533-position model. The record is from RNAcentral.